Molecule: ribosomal RNA, 273 nt
Filed under: uncultured bacterium
Lineage: Bacteria
Description: partial 16S ribosomal RNA
Rfam family: Bacterial small subunit ribosomal RNA
Source: RNAcentral
UACGUAGGUGGCAAGCGUUGUCCGGAUUUACUGGGCGUAAAGGAUGCGUAGGCGGAUAUUUAAGUCAGAUGUGAAAACCCCGGGCUCAACUUGGGGACUGCAUUUGAAACUGGAUAUCUAGAGUGCGGGAGAGGAAAGUGGAAUUCCUAGUGUAGCGGUGAAAUGCGUAGAGAUUAGGAAGAACACCAGUGGCGAAGGCGACUUUCUGGACCGUAACUGACGCUGAGGCAUGAAAGCGUGGGGAGCAAACAGGAUUAGAAACCCGCGUAGUCC